GGCCGCGUGGCCCAAUGGCAAGGCGUCUGACUACGACCUCGCUUCUUCUUCCGAAAUUCGGAGAGAGCGCGCGUAUAAAUCAGGAGAUCGUGGGUUCGAGCCCCAUCGUGGUCA
This 114-nucleotide transfer RNA is filed under the name Rhodotorula graminis WP1. It matches the Rfam family "tRNA". From Rfam's summary of the family: Transfer RNA (tRNA) molecules are approximately 80 nucleotides in length. Lineage: Eukaryota; Fungi; Basidiomycota; Microbotryomycetes; Sporidiobolales; Sporidiobolaceae. The record is from Rfam by way of RNAcentral.